AAACUCCGAAUGCCGUCAUCUUAUACUUGGGAGUCAGACUGUGGGUGAUAAGAUUCAUAGUCGAAAGGGCAACAGCCCAGAUCGUCAGCUAAGGUCCCUAAAUGUAAGUUAAGUGGUAAAGGAUGUGGGAUUGCACAGACAACCAGGAUGUUGGCUUAGAAGCAGCCACUCAUUCAAAGAGUGCGUAAUAGCUCACUGGUCGAGUGAUCCUGCGCCGAAGAUUUCCGGGGCUAAAACUUACUACCGAAGCUACGGCAUCAGUAAUGAUGGGUAGGGGAGCUUCCCAUACGGGUUGAAGCAUGACCGUAAGGACAUGUGGACAGUAUGGGAGUGAGAAUGUUGGCAUGAGUAGCGAGAUGUGGGUGAGAAUCCCACAGGCCGUAAACCCAAGGUUUCCAGGGGAAGGUUCGUCCGCCCUGGGUUAGUCGGGACCUAAGCUGAGGCCGAAAGGCGUAGGUGAUGGACAACAGGUUGAUAUUCCUGUACUACCGAUAACCGUUUGAGAGAAGGGAUGACACAGUAGGAUAAGCUAAGCACACUGUUGGUUAUGUGUGCCCAAGCAUUGAGGCAGUCAAAGUAGGCAAAUCCGCUUUGAUAAUGCUGGGAUGUGAUGGGGAGCGAAAUUUAGUAGCGAAGUAGCUGAUUUCACACUGUCAAGAAAAGUCUCUAUCGAGGUUAAAGGUACCCGUACCGCAAACCGACACAGGUGGGUGAGGAGAGUAUCCUAAGGCCAGCGAGAGAACUGUUGUUAAGGAACUCGGCAAAAUGACCCCGUAACUUAGGGAUAAGGGGUGCCACCAUCAGGUGGCCGCAGAGAAUAGGCCCAAGCGACUGUUUACCAAAAACAUAGGUUUCUGCUAAGUCGCAAGACGAUGUAUAGGAGCUGACGCCUGCCCGGUGCUGGAAGGUUAAGGGGAUCUGUUAGAGCAAUCGAAGCAGUGAACUUAAGCCCCAGUAAACGGCGGCCGUAACUAUAACGGUCCUAAGGUAGCGAAAUUCCUUGUCGGGUAAGUUCCGACCCGCACGAAAGGCGUAACGAUUUGGGCACUGUCUCAACAACAGACUCGGUGAAAUUGUAAUUCCGGUGAAGAUGCCGGAUACCUGCGACAGGACGGAAAGACCCCAUGGAGCUUUACUGUAGCUUGACAUUGGGUCUUGGUACUACAUGUACAGGAUAGGUGGGAGGCUUUGAAACCAGGACGCCAGUUUUGGCGGAGCCAUCCUUGGGAUACCACCCUUGUAGUACUGGGACUCUAACCAUAGGCCAUGAAUCUGGUCUUGGGACACUGUCAGGUGGGCAGUUUGACUGGGGCGGUCGCCUCCCAAAAGGUAACGGAGGCGCUCAAAGGUUCUCUCAGUACGGUCGGAAAUCGUACGUAGAGUGUAAAGGCAAAAGAGAGCUUGAUUGCAAGACAUACAGGUCGAGCAAGGAUGAAAAUCGGACUUAGUGAUCCGGUGGUUCUGCGUGGAAGGGCCAUCGCUCAACGGAUAAAAGCUACCCUGGGGAUAACAGGCUUAUCUCCCCCAAGAGUCCACAUCGACGGGGAGGUUUGGCACCUCGAUGUCGGCUCAUCACAUCCUGGGGCUGUAGUAGGUCCCAAGGGUUGGGCUGUUCGCCCAUUAAAGUGGUACGCGAGCUGGGUUCAGAACGUCGUGAGACAGUUCGGUCCCUAUCCGUCGCAGGCGUAGGAAAUUUGAGAAGACCUGUCCUUAGUACGAGAGGACCGGGAUGGACGUACCUCUGGUGUACCAGUUGUCCUGCCAAGGGCAUGGCUGGGUAGCUAUGUACGGAAUGGAUAAGCGCUGAAAGCAUCUAAGCGCGAAGCCAACUUCAAGAUAAGAUUUCCCACCGCAAGGGUAAGACCCCAGAAAGACUAUCUGGUUGAUAGGUCGAAGGUGUAAGUGCAGCAAUGUAUUUAGCUUAUCGAUACUAAUAGGUCGAGGACUUGACCAA
RNAcentral lists this ribosomal RNA (1954 nucleotides) under Clostridioides difficile. RNAcentral describes it as "23S ribosomal RNA". It matches the Rfam family "Bacterial large subunit ribosomal RNA", at positions 951 to 2925 of the family's 2925-position model. Lineage: Bacteria; Bacillati; Bacillota; Clostridia; Peptostreptococcales; Peptostreptococcaceae. The record is from RNAcentral.